AGGGCAUAACAUCUUAGCACCGUGCGGUUUUAUUUGUCACGUCAAUCAAUUCCAUAUUUUCAUUUAAAUAAGGGUAAACUUUAAAUACCACCUUUGUGGUUUCGCACUUUCUUACUUUUAUACCGUAUGGUUUAAAGUGUAUCAACUUAGUAUUCAAUGAUUUUAUUUUUCUCUUUUCGUCAGUACAUCUGUUAGCUUUUCGUUAAAUUAUAUAUAAAAAUUUUCAGAUUCCUUGUCUAUAGUUUAUCAAAUAUUCACUUUAGUACCCUUUAGUUUUAACUUUGUUACUGAUUUAACGAAAAAAAAUUAAUGAAGGGGAUAAAACAAAUGAAAAAUUAAAUCAUAGGAUACGAAAGUGAUACGCUUUAAAUCACAAAGUACUAAAGUAAAAAAGUGUCAAACCACAUAGGUGGUAUUUGAAAUUUUUCUUUUCAAUAAUGAUAAUAAUUAGAAGUCAAAGGCUUGAAAGUAAAUAUC
RNAcentral lists this long non-coding RNA (477 nucleotides) under Ananas comosus (pineapple). Its description in RNAcentral is "long non-coding RNA (ACOM_LNC008049)". The record is from RNAcentral. Lineage: Eukaryota; Viridiplantae; Streptophyta; Magnoliopsida; Poales; Bromeliaceae.